This 77-nucleotide transfer RNA is filed under the name Acidobacteriia bacterium 12-62-4. RNAcentral's name for it is "Solibacteres bacterium 12-62-4 tRNA-Val". It matches the Rfam family "tRNA". From Rfam's summary of the family: Transfer RNA (tRNA) molecules are approximately 80 nucleotides in length. Their secondary structure includes four short double-helical elements and three loops (D, anti-codon, and T loops). Further hydrogen bonds mediate the characteristic L-shaped molecular structure. tRNAs have two regions of fundamental functional importance: the anti-codon, which is responsible for specific mRNA codon recognition, and the 3' end, to which the tRNAs corresponding amino acid is attached (by aminoacyl-tRNA synthetases). tRNAs cope with the degeneracy of the genetic code in two manners: having more than one tRNA (with a specific anti-codon) for a particular amino acid; and 'wobble' base-pairing, i.e. permitting non-standard base-pairing at the 3rd anti-codon position. RNAcentral also lists the same sequence under 3 other names. The record is from RNAcentral. Lineage: Bacteria; Pseudomonadati; Acidobacteriota; Terriglobia.
GGGCGGUUAGCUCAGUCGGUUAGAGCACCUGCCUUACAAGCAGGGGGUCCACGGUUCGAGUCCGUGACCGCCCACCA